UAGUCCACGCCGUAAACGAUGAGUACUAGGUGUUGUGGGUAUUGACCCCCGCAGUGCCGACGCUAACGCAUUAAGUACUCCGCCUGGGAAGUACGGUCGCAAGAUUAAAACUCAAAGGAAUUGACGGGGGCCCGCACAAGCGGUGGAGCAUGUGGUUUAAUUCGAUGCAACGCGAAAAACCUUACCUGGGCUUAACAUCCCCGGACCGCUAUAGAAAUAUAGUUUUCUCUUCGGAGACCGGGUGAUAGGUGCUGCAUGGCUGUCGUCAGCUCGUAUCGUGAGAUGUCGGGUUAAGUCCCUUAACGAGCGCAACCCUUAUCCUUAGUUGCUACCAUUUAGUUGGGCACUCUAAGGAGACUGCCGGUGUUAAACCGGAGGAAGGUGGGGAUGACGUCAAGUCCUCAUGGCCCUUACGUCCAGGGCCACACACGUGCUACAAUGGCUGGUACAGAGGGUCGCCAACCCGCAAGGGGGAGCUAAUCUCAGAAAGCCAGUCUCAGUUCGGAUUGGAGUCUGCAAUUCGACUCCA
Molecule: ribosomal RNA, 529 nt
Filed under: uncultured bacterium
Lineage: Bacteria
Description: bacterial SSU rRNA
Rfam family: Bacterial small subunit ribosomal RNA
Source: RNAcentral